AAGUCGUAACAAGGUCUCCGUUGGUGAACCAGCGGAGGGAUCAUUACAGAGUUACUUAAAAACUCCCAACCCUUUGUGAACUUACCACUGUUGCCUCGGCGUUGGCUGCGGCUACCCUAUAGUUACCCUGUAGGCAACUACCCUGUAGUUGCUUACCCUGUACCUAUCUCGUAGUUCGCUUAGGCCCGUCGGAGGACCACUGAACUCUUGUUUUACUGUGAAUAUCUGAAUGCUUCAACUGAAUAAGUUAAAA
RNAcentral lists this unclassified non-coding RNA (253 nucleotides) under plant metagenome. Its description in RNAcentral is "partial contains small subunit ribosomal RNA and internal transcribed spacer 1". The stretch from base 1 to 46 matches the Rfam family "Eukaryotic small subunit ribosomal RNA", at positions 1786 to 1831 of the family's 1831-position model. The record is from RNAcentral.